AUUGAACGCUGGCGGCAUGCUUUACACAUGCAAGUCGGACGGCAGCACAGAGAAGCUUGCUUCUUGGGUGGCGAGUGGCGAACGGGUGAGUAAUAUAUCGGAACGUACCGAGUAAUGGGGGAUAACUAAUCGAAAGAUUAGCUAAUACCGCAUAUUCUCUGAGGAGGAAAGCAGGGGACCUUCGGGCCUUGCGUUAUUCGAGCGGCCGAUAUCUGAUUAGCUAGUUGGUGGGGUAAAGGCCUACCAAGGCGACGAUCAGUAGCGGGUCUGAGAGGAUGAUCCGCCACACUGGGACUGAGACACGGCCCAGACUCCUACGGGAGGCAGCAGUGGGGAAUUUUGGACAAUGGGCGCAAGCCUGAUCCAGCCAUGCCGCGUGUCUGAAGAAGGCCUUCGGGUUGUAAAGGACUUUUGUCAGGGAAGAAAAGGCUGUUGCUAAUAUCGACAGCUGAUGACGGUACCUGAAGAAUAAGCACCGGCUAACUACGUGCCAGCAGCCGCGGUAAUACGUAGGGUGCGAGCGUUAAUCGGAAUUACUGGGCGUAAAGCGAGCGCAGACGGUUACUUAAGCAGGAUGUGAAAUCCCCGGGCUUAACCUGGGAACUGCGUUCUGAACUGGGUGACUAGAGUGUGUCAGAGGGAGGUAGAAUUCCACGUGUAGCAGUGAAAUGCGUAGAGAUGUGGAGGAAUACCGAUGGCGAAGGCAGCCUCCCGGGAUAACACUGACGUUCAUGCUCGAAAGCGUGGGUAGCAAACAGG
RNAcentral lists this ribosomal RNA (759 nucleotides) under Neisseria subflava. Its description in RNAcentral is "bacterial SSU rRNA". It matches the Rfam family "Bacterial small subunit ribosomal RNA", at positions 28 to 776 of the family's 1533-position model. Lineage: Bacteria; Pseudomonadati; Pseudomonadota; Betaproteobacteria; Neisseriales; Neisseriaceae. The record is from RNAcentral.